This is a long non-coding RNA of Homo sapiens (human), 855 nucleotides long. Ensembl annotates it as androgen receptor regulated long noncoding RNA 1. Its record names the gene ARLNC1. NCBI's taxonomy places the organism in Eukaryota, Metazoa, Chordata, Mammalia, Primates, Hominidae. The record is from Ensembl.
UGGGUCAUUUCAUGAAUGUCACACAAAUGGGAUCAUGCAGUAUGUGGCCAUCUGAGAUUGACUCUCUUCCCACAGCAUAAUGCCCUUGACAUCCAUCCAAGUUACUCUCACUCUCGGGCUGGAGUGCAGCGGCAUGAUCUCGGCUCACUGCAACCUCUGCCUCCCGGGUUCAUGUAAUUCUCAUGCCUCAGCCUCCCAAGUAGCUGGGAUUACAGGCACACGCCACCAUGCCUGGCUGAUUUAAGAUUAUUUUUUUCACAAAACUUUGAAGACAUAUCUUCUUAUCUUCUGGCUUCUGUUGUUGUUCAUUUACAGUAAGGAUUAUUGAAGGCCAGUUUACAUGCAGUAAAAUUCAGCUCAUUUACACAUAUAGGUUUUCAGGUGCUGGUUCCAUGGCUCUUCCUGAGCCGAAAAUAAGGAAACUCCAUAGACCUUGUCCACUGGAACUCGUUCCCAUCUACCCUCCACUCUAUCCAGCCCCAUGAGGACAAGGAACAUGAUUGGUUUUGCUCACUGCCGUAUCUUCCGUACCUAGUACGUAACAGGACAUCAAUAAAUAUUAGUUGAAUGGAAGAUUAAAUCAACAAAAUGGGUGAUGGAUCUCUGCAGUAAGUGGAAGAGUUCUUCAUGGCCCCCAAGGUUAUAUCCAUCUAGAACUUCAGCACGUAAUUUCAUCUGGAAAUAGUGCCUUUGCGGAUAUAAGUUAGGUAAAACUGAAGAUGAGAUCAUACUGGAUUAGGAUGGGAUCUAAAUCCAAUGAAAAUGUCUUCAUAAAAAACAGGAAAGAACCCAUAGAAACACAAGGAAGAAGGUCAUGUGAAGAUGGAGGCAGAGAUUGGAGGGAUGCAGCCACCG